This 309-nucleotide long non-coding RNA is filed under the name Mytilus galloprovincialis (Mediterranean mussel). Lineage: Eukaryota; Metazoa; Mollusca; Bivalvia; Mytilida; Mytilidae. The record is from RNAcentral.
GGAUGUAUAACGCACACUCUUUAAGUAGAACAAAAAACUAAAUAUUUAUAUAACAUUUUUAUAUCAAUCAAUAUAUAAAAAUACUACAUUUCCAAUACUAAAUCAACAACCCUAUGCACACAUAUUACCUUCAGUUCACAUUCAGCAUCCAAUGGAUAUUACCUUGAAAAAGAAUACAGCGAAGUAGUUCAGAGCUUUUUAGAAAGCUAAAACUUAUAAUUUUCUUAAUUUUCAAAGUGUAUAUCACUGAUGCGUUUUGUUUUAAUCUGUGUCAAAAAAGCGUUUACCAGAACGUAAUAGGUGUUUGCA